Molecule: long non-coding RNA, 4856 nt
Filed under: Penaeus chinensis
Lineage: Eukaryota; Metazoa; Arthropoda; Malacostraca; Decapoda; Penaeidae
Description: uncharacterized LOC125027352
Source: RNAcentral
ACUUCCGGUCUGAAGAGAAGAAAAUAAAUGCAAUUAUCAAGUUGAAUGAACCCUUUACUGUAUAUAAUAUAUUGUGAAAUAUAAUCACACAUGUUCCUAUAGCCAUAUUCAGUGUGCAUUAGUCAGAUCAUUCAGCUUAGCUCCACAUUUAAGACAGGGCUGUUCUUGCGUGUUUAUUCCAUAUUUAAAAGACAAGUUUUGAAUGUUUGCAUACUAUCAGAAACAGUUGAGAUAGUGAAAAAAUGAGAUGCAUAUGAAAAAAAAAAAAAAAAUCAGUUUCUGUAUCAAUAAGGAUGAAAGAAGAUUGGUUAGGCUAAAGAUUAACAGCGAAAAUAUAGAUAUGCUCCAAAGGCAAAAGAAAUAAUAAAAGAUAAUAUAGUAGAAACUACUGUAAUGUAGUUUUUGUACGAAAGAAGUUAUGUAUGGGCAAUUUGGCAAACUUUGCAUUUUGUUAAUAGUUGAUCUCAAUUACAGGUAGGAGAGAGAAUACGAGUGAUAUUGGACUGUGACGACAACACUUUAGCAUUUGAGAAGAACUAUGAAUUUCUUGGCGUUGCAUUUAGAGGUCUGCCAGAUAAGCAGCUAUAUCCCUCUGUUUCUGCUGUGUAUGGCAACACAGAGGUGUCAAUGGUAUACUUAGGACCCCCGUUGGAUGGCUGACCCGCUGUAUGCUUAGCACAGAUAAUACCAGGCUGCAGAGCGCAACAUGGUUCCUCGCUGAUCUCAAGGGAUUGUCCGCCCACAAGCCCUCGUACAUUAUGACGGGUGUGCGGCAGGUCAUGUAUGGCAGUGGUCGACUGCAGGAAAUGACUCUUCGGCUCUGAAAGAAGCUUUCAGUGAGUGAUGGAGCUCAAAGGGGACAGGUGGCCAUGCAAGAGGACGGCUGUAGUGUGGUGAGCUGUCUUGCCAUCUCCCAAGAAUAGAGCUGUAUUGUACGCAAAAAUAAAGUGAAAAUAAAGAAUAACAAUAAAAAACACAUAGGAAAUAAGAGAAGCAUAUUGUGACUUCCUGAAACAUUUAGUGGCUUUUUUUAUGUUAAAAAAAAAGAUGCAAGCCAUUGACGCCUUACAGUUGUUGAAAAAAGGCAUAGGAUGCAAACCAAAGGGAAGAUGUUAGCAGAUGUGUGAAAACAUCUUCGUUCAGUGCAACAAAGAAUAAAAAAAGAAGAAAAGCAUGCCUAACAGAGUUAAUCUCUGCACUAUGUGCAAUGUGCCUUGAGAAACAUAAUACUGGAGGAACAUUGUCUUUUAGUCUUUUUUAUGAAGAUACAACUGUUUAAAUUAUUGUAUAUGUAUUUGAAAAAAAAUAUAUAGAUAUAUAUGUCUGUUGGCAUAUAUAUAUAUCUGUAAAAGCUGAUUAACUUUGUAAACAUGAACAGAAGUUAAAGAAUAAUGUCAUGCAACAAAAUGCAGUAUUCAGGAGUAGAGGGAGCUUCUCAUGUACUACCAGGUGUGUGUACAGCAUUGGCUUCUUUUUUUAAAAAGGGUUUUGAAAAAAAGUGUAAGUCUGAAUGUACAAGUAAUUAUUUAUUGAGGCAAAUAGUGAUAUUAUCAGCAUGCUUAUAUUUUGCAUUUGUAUAGUUUAAAAUGUUUAUGCAUUGAUCCUUCCUCAUCUGUGGCUGAGUCAUGGAUGACUGGUUCUGUUCCAUCUGUGGAAUGCAUUCCUUAAGCUCCCACCUUUUUUGUGUUCAAUGAAUUGUGCUCAGGUAGCACAUGAUCUAGUCAUUUAGUAGCAGAAGUGAUCACACAUUUCAUAGAUUGAUGGUGAGGGAUUGACAACUUUCUUUUAUGCUUUCAUAUAUGUGCAUUAAUCUUUUAUAUUAUUUUAGAUUUUCUCUCUCUCUCUCUCUCUCUCUCUCUCUCUCUCUCUCUCUCUCUCUCUCUCUCUCUCUCUCUCUCUCUCUCUCUCUCUCUCUCUCUCUCUCUCUCUCCUUCCCCCCCUCCCCUCUCCCUUUAAGUUUUCAAUUGUUUGAUCUCAUAUUUAUCUUGGAGUUUGAUGUGAUUUCUCUUUACUUUUUCCAACUUCGGUACAGACAGUUCUUUGGUGCUUUUCCUUAGACAUUCCAGUUGCCAAGUUCGUCAGUACACUUUCUUGGCUUUUCAUCUUCAACCUGAUCAUUCCACUUUAGUGUGGAGAGAUUACAUUCCUGUUUAUUAUUAUAUUUUUUCAUCAUCUACUCUUUCUUUUUGAUCCUUGCUAAAUAUGUGAUGGGAGGAUUAUAGACCAGAAAAAGUUACUAUUACAAGUCAGGAUGCCAUUGUCAUGUGUAGAGUGUAGCAUCAGAUCUUUCUUUUUAUUUUUUUCACUCUAAUCCCUAUGUAUAAAGAAAAAAAAAAAUAUGAACAGCCUGUGGAACGGCUGGUGUUCAUGUGCAGACAAAAAGGGAAGGGGCAUGUUACCUGAUGGAAGCUUUUCCCUCAUUUGAGCUUUUGCAAUUGUUGUGAUUUUUUAAGACUUCCUGAUUGUUCUGAUGUAUUAUAAUUAUUAUUAUUAUUAUCAUUAUUGAUUAUUUUUAGUAUAGUUGAUGUUGCCAAUAAUUUAAUUUUUUAGCUCUAUAUUUAAUUUUUAUUUGUACAAAUUGUCGUGAUACAGAACCAUAAGAUAUUAUUUGUGUUGAAUGAGCAACAGAUCUUACCAAAAGUAGGUUUAAAUUUUGUGUGUGUGUAUGUGUGUGUGUGUGUGUGUGUUUGUAUGUGUGCAUAUAUGUAUUCAUAUGUGUGUUUGUGGGAAUUUUUUGGUGCAUGUGCUGGAUGUGGACCUGUGACCAUAUACAAGUGCAUUAAUGAAAGUUGGUUAUACCUUUGAAAAGGAUGAACAAGUACAACACACACAACUCAGUGCAAUUACUACUUAUGUAUAAGGCUGUCCGAGCUAUUGCUUGUUUAUUGUGAUUAUUCAAAGCUGAUUGUAUAUCUUUCUAUGGUUGAUAUCUUUACGUGAUAAUUGUCAUUUAUGUUACCAGACUGUUAAGUUCUAGCCAUUAGCCAUACGUCAUAUUUGUGUACAUUCUCACAUGUACACAUUUCUUUUCUCAUACUAAUUGCAUUCUUUCUUGUUACUCUCACUCACACACACCUGUUGUCUCAGUUUUAUACUUGCAUUUACACUACAAAUCAUACUCGCAUGCUCAACUCACAUUUAUGAUUAAGAGUGCAAAUGACCCUUUGCAUUUUUACCUUUAAUUUUGUUCUCUACUUAAACAUGAAGAUACAAAUCAUAGAGGAUACAGUUAGUUUUGAACCUAUACCUAAUGCUUGAAUGAUUCAGGUUUCAUGUGUCAAAGUUGAAUGUAGAACCUAAUUUAUUUGUUAACGAAUGCACUGUUCCCAUUGGUUCAUUAUUGUUGAUAUAAUAAAGCACUGGCAUUGUAUGUUAUCUUUAGAACUUUUAUCAGGCACUUAAAAGUUACUUAUAAGCUGAACACAUAAGGUUUAAUGCUUUUAUAAUGAAAGUCUAAUAAAUAUAUUCUGCAUGCCAUGUCAUUAAAUUCUGAAGGAAAAUCUGCAUGUUUUGUAAUUUCAGUAUGGGGCAACAGAAAUACAAAAUGAGAAUGUUGAAAUAAAGGGAUAUACAAGAUGAGAAAAAUGACAAAAAUCCUCACAAUGAUUGGAUGGUUCACAUUUGUAAUAAAUGUUACUUUACAAUGUAUGUUAGGGGAUGUAGUGUAUGUUGUGUUCUUUUUGUGUCAUUACCUAAAAUAUUAGUCACAAAGAAAAAAAAAAUAGAUCUGCUAUUGGUCAUUACAUGAAGAGAGAGAACUUUUUAGGCUUCUUAAACAUUUCAGAUAACAAUUUUUUUCCUAUGUUGUACUUGAAUGCAGAAUGAAAAACAAACUGGAGAGACUGGACAUUUUUACAUGAAAUGAUAACUAUAAAUCUACAUCACAGUGGUCUCCUUCGUACCAAGUGUUUUAUAUGGUCUUGUAGAGUAGAAAGAUACUGUUUAGUAUUUUGUUAUGUUGGCACUAUUUGCCCAGCAUGUUCACAUAUGUACAUAUAUUUAAGAUUUGUAAAUAUUUGUUUAUCUUUAAUUCUAGCACAGGAAGCAGGGAUGAUGGUGUAUGUAUGAUGAACUUGUGUUAAGUGUGCUCUAUGUACACUUCGAUUAGGGCUGGUAAUGUUUGCAGUACAGUCUCAGAAUCUAUUCAUGAGCUGUUUUUUUUUUUUUUUUUUUUUUUUAAUUCAUCCAAAAAUGUGUUCCUCUCCUCUAUAAGGGAUCUGCACAUUCAUUUUCAUGGCUUUAAAGCAGUUACUGCAUAACCUCAUAUAUCAUCAAUGUACAUCUGUCAUGGUCAUCACACAUGAAUACUGUUAGUUGGUUUUAGUUUUUUAUCAUUGUCGAACUUUUGCAGAGAGUGGGAUUAAAUACUGUAAGGGAAUGCCAUGCUGAAGCUCGUAUGCUCUAGUAGAGCAUGAGCUUUUUGAAGAGACUAGAGAAACAUGGUAAACUCAUUGUGUAGCAUGUUUGCAUAUUCUUCAAUAGUGGGCAAGCUAUUUCUGCUAUGUACUGCUAAGAGUAAAAGGAAUCAAACUUUUUGACAUGGUAGGAAUCCUGUCCAGUAGACAAAAGCAAUAUACAUUCCAUUUCUCCAGAAUUAUUUAUAUAUUCCCCAGCAUUCAUUAAUUCUAACUAUUGCUGGCAAAACUUGUUAAAUAUUUAUUUUAUGUAAGGAAGUGGAUGUAAAAAUGACAGUUUAUGUCUGAAAUUAUUGAUGCUGUUACUGGCUCAUACUGCAAUUCAAUUCCAGCCCUAUUUAUCAUUGAGUGAAUGUUGAAUAGACAUUUUUCACUGAAGUUAAAAGGAACUUACAUAAUCAGUCAUGUAGAAGUCUUGUCAAGUAAAUCAUUUGAACUAUC